UAAUAAGUGUUUUAUGGCACUUUUUAAAUCCAUAUCCACCUUGUGUAGCGAUGUCAGUCGAUCUUCUUCAUGGAGAUCGACCAAACAUCAACCUUUAUCUUUUAACAUCUUUGUCUGAAAAAUAUUAUGAAUAAACAAUUCAAAAUA
RNAcentral lists this unclassified non-coding RNA (147 nucleotides) under soil metagenome. RNAcentral's name for it is "partial internal transcribed spacer 1". The record is from RNAcentral.